CCUACGGGGGACUGCAGUGGGGAAUAUUGCACAAUGGGGGAAACCCUGAUGCAGCGACGCCGCGUGAGUGAAGAAGGAAUUCGUUAUGUAAAGCUCUAUCAGCAGGGAAGAAAAGGACGGUACCUGAGUAAGAAGCCCCGGCUAACUACGUGCAAGCAGCCGCGGUAAUACGCAGGGGGCAAGCGUUAUCCGGAUUUACUGGGUGUAAAGGGAGCGUAGAGGGGAGUGCAAGUCUGGAGUGAAAGGUGGGGGCUCAACCCCCGGACUGCUCUUGAAACUGUACGGCUUGAGUGCAGGAGAGGUAGGUGGAAUUCCUGGUGUAGCGGUGAAAUGCGUAGAUAUUAGGAAGAACACCGGUGGCGAAGGCGGCUUACUGGACUGUAACUGACGUUGAGGCUCGAAAGCGUGGGGAGCAAACAGGAUUAGAUACCCGGGUAGUC
RNAcentral lists this ribosomal RNA (440 nucleotides) under uncultured bacterium. RNAcentral describes it as "partial 16S ribosomal RNA". It matches the Rfam family "Bacterial small subunit ribosomal RNA", at positions 338 to 795 of the family's 1533-position model. The record is from RNAcentral.